CAUGGGGGAAACCUGAUGCAUCAAUGCCGCGUGAGUGAAGAGGCCUUUGGGUUGUAAAGCUCUUUCGGUUGGAAAGAAGGGUGCAUGGCUAAUAUCCAUGUAGUUUGACGGUACCAAAAGAAGAAGCACCUGCUAACUUCGUGCCAGCAGCAGCGGUAAUACGAAGGGUGCAAGCGUUGUUCGGAAUUACUGGGCGUAAAGGGCGCGUAGGCGGGUUUGUAAGUCGAAUGUGAAAUCCCCGGGCUUAACCUGGGACGUGCAUUCGAUACUGCUAAUCUUGAAUGCUUGAGAGGGUGGUGGAAUUCCUAGUGUAGAAGUGAAAUUCGUAGAUAUUAGGAGGAACACCUGAGGCGAAGGCGGCCACCUGGCAAGACAUUGACGCUAAGGCGCGAAAGUGCGGGGAGCAAACAGGAUUAGAUACCCUGGUAGUCCGCACCAUAAACGAUGGAUACUAGAUGUUUGGAGAAUUAACCCUCUGAGUAUCAAAGUUCACACAUUAAGUAUCCCGCCUGGGGAGUACGGCCGCAAGGCUGAAACUCAAAGGAAUUGACGGGGGCCCGCACAAGCGGUGGAGUAUGUGGUUUAAUUCGAAGCAACGCGCAGAACCUUACCUGNGUUUGACAUCCUACGAAUACUGCAGAGAUGUAGUAGUCCCGCAGGGACGUAGAG
This 669-nucleotide ribosomal RNA is filed under the name uncultured bacterium. RNAcentral describes it as "bacterial SSU rRNA". It matches the Rfam family "Bacterial small subunit ribosomal RNA", at positions 370 to 1033 of the family's 1533-position model. The record is from RNAcentral.